This 219-nucleotide long non-coding RNA is filed under the name Linum usitatissimum (flax). RNAcentral describes it as "long non-coding RNA (LUSI_LNC005874)". Lineage: Eukaryota; Viridiplantae; Streptophyta; Magnoliopsida; Malpighiales; Linaceae. The record is from RNAcentral.
GGUAUGCUACAAGUGAAUAUAUGCGACAAAAAAUGAAUCCUAAACAUUGCUGUUAUUUUAAAUGGUUUCUAUUAACCAUUAUUGUAAAUGACAUAGGGACAAACUGUACAUCAACAUACUUACAGGUAUAAUUUUUUUAUGUAAAUGGAUACUAACAAAUACUGCAAAAUAAAACAAAAGAAAAGAAAGUAAAAAAAGUAAAAAAAUACAGCUAACCUU